AACCUGGUUGGGUGGUCUGCCUUCACGGUACGUACUGCCUGGCCGGGUUCUACCUCUUGGUGAGCCGGCAUGCCCUUCACUGGGUGUGUCGGGGAACCAGGACUUUUACCUUGAGAAAAUUAGAGUGUUCAAAGCAGGCCUUUGCCCGAAUACAUUAGCAUGGCAUAAUAAAAUAGGACGUGCGGUUCUAUUUUGUUGGUUUCUAGAGUCGCCGUA
This 216-nucleotide ribosomal RNA is filed under the name uncultured fungus. RNAcentral's name for it is "partial small subunit ribosomal RNA". The stretch from base 92 to 216 matches the Rfam family "Eukaryotic small subunit ribosomal RNA", at positions 738 to 864 of the family's 1831-position model. The record is from RNAcentral. Lineage: Eukaryota; Fungi.